CCAAUCGAAUUGUUCUGGGUGUAAAUAAGUGUUGUCAUAUCAAAUAUGGGAGAUCUGUCACAUUACAGUCUUUGUAGUAGAGUAAGAAUGGAAAUGAGUGUCAGGUGAUACUGAAGUAUUUUAUUAAAAAAUUGCCAAACACUUAAAGAGUUUUAAGAAAGCAAGGAUGGUAAAUUUAAUUUAACUUUGAAAUAUUGCACAGAAUGCAUCAAGAAGUCCCCUUAUAAUUACACUUUACUAUUGGAUUUAGUUCUAAAUAGAACACUAGAACAAAAUAAAACCUUUAUUCUAAAAACAAUUCUGUACUUUUAGCAGUGUAGCAAUUGAAUAGUUUUUUCUCUUUUUAUCUAUUUUAGUCAUCGAGUGAAUCUCUCUAACCUGCUAAAAAGUCAUCAUUUACUAACCCUCAUUUUCUUCCAAACGAUGAGUUUAUUUCUUCUGUUAAACACAAAAGAAGAUGUUUUGAAGAGAGUUGGUAAACAAACAGUUGACGACAGCCAAUGUACAGAUCAUAAAGCAUAUGUAAAUAUAUGAAUGUAUGUGUUUGUUAUUAAAAUGCAACAUUACUUUGGGUCU
This is a long non-coding RNA of Carassius carassius (crucian carp), 576 nucleotides long. RefSeq lists it as uncharacterized. The record is from RefSeq and is a predicted model, not a curated record. The transcript is spliced from 2 exons. NCBI's taxonomy places the organism in Eukaryota, Metazoa, Chordata, Actinopteri, Cypriniformes, Cyprinidae.